This is an RNA transcript of Oryza brachyantha (malo sina), 3613 nucleotides long. It is a transcript of the gene named disease resistance protein RGA2-like, with no coding region annotated. The transcript is spliced from 2 exons. Lineage: Eukaryota; Viridiplantae; Streptophyta; Magnoliopsida; Poales; Poaceae. The record is from RefSeq and is a predicted model, not a curated record.
UUGACUAUGGAUGAUAAGUGCAUUAAAAGACUGAAAACUGUGUCGGAAAAACUCGAUGGAAGUCGUGCUGACCUUGAAUCUAUUCUCGGCAUUCUGAAAUCACACAAUAAUUAUGAGUAUCUGAUUGGAUUGCAUCCUCGCUUAUCCACAACAAGCAAACCUGUGCAUGGUCGAGAUACACAAAUAGAACAGCUGCUAGACAUGGUACUGCACAACAAGUCAAACUCUGUGCAUCCUCCAGAAUCCACCGAGCAAGAAGAAGCAGGAGGGAGAUCGUGCAUGGGCCAUCCAAGACUUAUUCUUAUUCAAGGAGCAGCUGGGGUGGGUAAAACAACACUUGCUCAAGUAAUAUAUAACCACCAUUUUGUCAAGGAAGCUUUCGGGAUCAGGGGAUGGGUUUUUGUCCAUAAAUGUGCUGAAGGAACCAUAUGUGAGAGUGUUGUUCAAUCUUUUAAAGCAGAGCAGCAACAUUCUUCAGAAUGCAAUCCCGCUAGCAUAUUGGAAGGCAAGAGAUUUUUACUUGUCCUUGACGACAUACAGCUUAAUUUUCUUAACAUAUGGGCAGAGUUGAGCUCUAUCUUAACUAAGGGAAAGCAAGGGAGUAUUGUGUUGGUGACAACACGAGAUCAUGUUGCAGAAAGGAUGGGUAAAAUUAUUGAAAAAAACGAUUGUAUUUCAUUGCCCCAUCUGCCUGAGUCUACGCUAUGGACCAUUUUAAAGGAUCAUACACUUCAAGAACAGGAAAACGAAUCCCUGCAAUCAAUUGGUCAGAAAAUAGCUGGCAAAUUACAUGGCUUACCUCUGCUAGCAGAGUUAAUUGGACCGCUGCUGGGACAAAAGUUAAAUGUUGAACAUUGGACAAAUGUUUCUGACAGUAUUUGGUGGAAAUAUGCUGUAGAUCGGGACAAUCUUGCCUUUCCUUCUGUGAAAAUUGUAUGUGAAUACUUCACUCUUCCCCUGAAGGAAUGCCUCUGUUAUUGUUCAAUAUUUCCAUCUGGAUACUUGUUUGAAAAGAAUAGAUGGAUGCACAAGUGGAUGUCAAAUUUUGCACACCAGGAAGGCAUAGAAUCAAUGAAAGAACUAUUUUUAGAUGAGCUUAUCAGCAUAUCAUUUCUCAAGCCAGUGCAUUGGAAAAAUAUGUAUGCUAUGCAUGAUCUACUUAGAGAAUCAAUUGACAGGGAUGAAUUAUAUGAUGCUACAGAGAGAGGCAGAGGGAAGCGAGCACUUGAUCACCACCGGAUCAUUUAUAUUAGUAAGUUUGAUGUGCAUUUGGAUUUAAGUAAACUGAGAACCAUGGUAAUUACUGAUAGUUACAGCACGGGGAAUGAAAAACUCAAUGAAGUUUUGUCUCAUUCAAGUAAUCUGCGGGUGCUAGACUUGUCUAACGUUAAGGAUGGAUUUGAUGGAUCCAACCGGUGAUUCACAUCAGAUCAGAAUUUCCAUUGGUAUCAGUCCUCCUGAUGUCAUUCAUACCUUUGAAAAUCUCCGGUUUUUAGAUCUCUCAUACACAAAGAUCACAAAAAUUCCAGAUUCGUUCUGUAAGCUAGAGCUCUUACAAGUUCUUGGUCUGCGAGGAUGUCAUUUUGAAAGUUUGCCAAAAAAAUGAACGAACUAAUUAACCUAAGGUACCUAUAUGCAGAAGGAUGCACAUUAUCUCUGAUUCAUAAAAUAGGGCAACUAACUAACUUGCAAGAGUUAGAAGAAUUUCAUGUCAGCGAGAAAAAUCAGAUAGUAGAACUGGGGAACUUGAAGAAACUUGGUGGACAAUUGUGUAUUGCUAACCUUGAAAAGGUGUCACUGAAAGAUGUUGCACAUAAAGCUGAAUUGUGCAGAAAAACAAACCUCAAAACGCUGGAGUUAAAAUGGAACAAUUCGAUUGAUCCAACUUCAUCUGACUCUGAUAAUUGCAGGACCAUCCUUGAAGCCCUAGAACCACCUAGAGAACUUAAAGAGCUGAAGAUCCAAGGUUACAGAGGAUCUACCUUUCCAAAGUGGGCAGAGACGAAUCAAGAUUUCAAAUGUCUAGAAAGCAUUCAUAUUAGUCAUUGCAAGAACCUAGGAUGUCUUCCACCUCUUGGAUUGAUUCCCAAUCUCAAAUUUCUCUUACUCGCCGACUUACCAUCUAUAGAAAAAAUUGACGAUGCUUUUUAUGGAAAUUAUGGAACAGCAUUCCAGUCAUUGGAGGAGAUAACUUUUCAAAGGAUGUCAGCAUGCGAUGGGUGGUCUGCAUUAGAAAGAAGGAAAUCCAUGCCACAGCUCAAAAAGGUCACAAUUGAAAGUUGUCCUAAAUUGAAGGAAGCACCAUUGCAUUGCUUCAGAGAAACGCUAUUGGAACUUGUUCUAUCAGAUUGUGGUUCAAUUUUAAUGGGUGAGGGAUGUCUUCAUGGUUUCAGAAAACUAAAGCAUUUGAGAGUCUGCAAAUACUCUGGUGCAAUCAAUCUCUCAUGUCCUUCAUUGACAUCACUUUCAGUGUUGAAUGUUUCAAAUGAUGGGAGCAAAAUAGAUUUAGGAGGUGGCACAGAACAACUCCAAAAUCUCAGGUGUUUGGUGAUAAAUGGUGAGGUCCUUCCUUCAAAUAAAAUAAAAUGGUGAGGUCCCAGAUAUAAUAGAACCACUCAUGCAGGCGAAGAUGUCUUCAGUGUCAACAGUUGAAAUGCCACUGAUUGCAUGCGCUGCAGCACCUACACCUCCAGAUACGGAGCCAAUCAGUUUCCCCUUUCCGGCAACAUGAGUGAUUUCACCCUUACCAGAGGCACCAGCUACCUUUGAUAUUAUGGAUUUUGAUGCUAUGGUGAGUGUGCUAGAAAAGGAAAAAAAAUGAUGGAAGUGUUCAAAUGUCGCAUGGAAACCAUAUCAGUGCUAAGCACACUCUUAGGGACUUGAGCUACCUACUUGAUAAUAAUGGACUAUCUGAUAUUCUCAAUAAUAUGGAUUGCACAAAGGAACUAGUUGCCGAGCUUGGUCACAAUAUACCUGAGGAAAUAUAAGUAGCCCUAAAUAACCUCUGCAAGCUUGGAGAGGAAAAAGAAGGCAAUUUAUGAAGCCGGUGAGCGCUAGGGACAUCGGACCAGUGGAAAACAUACGAAAGAGCAAAGCAAAUCGAAGACGUACCCCCACCAUGUUAUAUGAAGAGCUUGACGAGGUACAACAACAGGUGAAUGAUCUUACUCUUUCAAUUUCCGGGAAAAAUUCUAUUGCCCGAAAAAAACUGCUGUGUGAGGAUGCUAAGGCCCUCACGAUGAUGGGACGGCAACUGCUAGAACCGUGCGACGAGAUUGCUGACAAAAUGCUGUUAAUCCGGUUCCUGAGGACUAUUAAAGUAGCACGUUUCCAACUCCAUAGCCUUCUCGGCCAGCAACCAUGACCCCAUGAGUCGAAGAGUCGGGUCUAGGUCCUCUAUCUAUACUUGUUGCUCGUUAUAAAAUCAUGGUUUGUUUUCACAAACCUGUUAAAUACUACGCACUAAUCCUGGGAGAGAUUGUUCAAUGGAGCAAUUUGGUUAGAAUCAAUGCCAUAUCGUGUGCCCAUACCUCUCGUUGUCCCGUUGUUGAACAUAGGCCAUGAAAAUCAAACAAGAAGUCAAAUUCACAUCCACCAAUACCCAGAUCAAACA